CAGCUCAGUUGGUACAGCAUGAGGCUCUUAAUCUCAGGCUUGUGGGUUCGAGUCCCACAAAAGA
This is a non-coding RNA of Podarcis lilfordi (Lilford's wall lizard), 64 nucleotides long. The record is from the annotation of a GenBank genome assembly. Lineage: Eukaryota; Metazoa; Chordata; Lepidosauria; Squamata; Lacertidae.